RNAcentral lists this ribosomal RNA (316 nucleotides) under Bionectriaceae sp. MSX59553. RNAcentral describes it as "eukaryotic LSU rRNA". It matches the Rfam family "Eukaryotic large subunit ribosomal RNA", at positions 331 to 670 of the family's 3401-position model. Lineage: Eukaryota; Fungi; Ascomycota; Sordariomycetes; Hypocreales; Bionectriaceae. The record is from RNAcentral. RNAcentral also lists the same sequence under 3 other names.
AGACCGAUAGCGAACAAGUAGAGUGAUCGAAAGAUGAAAAGCACUUUGAAAAGAGGGUUAAAAAGUACGUGAAAUUGUUGAAAGGGAAGCGUUCAUGACCAGACUUGGGCAGGUUGAUCAUCCGUGGUUCUCCGCGGUGCACUCUGCCUGCCCAGGCCAGCAUCAGUUCGCCCCGGGGGAUAAAGGUUUCGGGAAUGUGGCUCCUCCGGGAGUGUUAUAGCCCGUUGCGUAAUACCCUGGGACGGACUGAGGUUCGCGCUCUGCAAGGAUGCUGGCGUAAUGGUCAUCAACGACCCGUCUUGAAACACGGACCAAG